AUGAAGGCCUUCGGGUUGUAAACUGCUUUUGUACGGAACGAAACGGUCCUUUCUAAUACAAGGGGCUAAUGACGGUACCGUAAGAAUAAGCACCGGCUAACUACGUGC
RNAcentral lists this ribosomal RNA (108 nucleotides) under uncultured bacterium. Its description in RNAcentral is "partial 16S ribosomal RNA". It matches the Rfam family "Bacterial small subunit ribosomal RNA", at positions 408 to 508 of the family's 1533-position model. The record is from RNAcentral.